This 253-nucleotide ribosomal RNA is filed under the name uncultured bacterium. RNAcentral's name for it is "partial 16S ribosomal RNA". It matches the Rfam family "Bacterial small subunit ribosomal RNA", at positions 524 to 776 of the family's 1533-position model. The record is from RNAcentral.
GACGUAGGAUGCAAGCGUUGUCCGGAUUUAUUGGGCGUAAAGAGUUCGUAGGCUGUUUGUUAAGUCUGGUGUUAAAGACUGAGGCCCAACCUCGGAAAUGCAUCGGAUACUGGCAGACUUGAGUACGGUAGAGGCGAGUGGAAUUCCCAGUGUAGCGGUGAAAUGCGUAGAUAUUGGGAAGAACACCGGUGGCGUAGGCGACUCGCUGGGCCGCAACUGACGCUGAGGAAAGAAAGCCAGGGGAGCGAAUGGG